Molecule: ribosomal RNA, 253 nt
Filed under: uncultured bacterium
Lineage: Bacteria
Description: partial 16S ribosomal RNA
Rfam family: Bacterial small subunit ribosomal RNA
Source: RNAcentral
UACGAGAGGCCCAAACGUUAUUCGGAUUUACUGGGCUUAAAGAGUUCGUAGGCGGCGCGGAAAGUAGGGUGUGAAAGCCCUCGGCUCAACCGAGGAAUUGCGCUCUAAACUGCCGCGCUCGAGGAACCUAGAGGUGAGCAGAACUGAUGGCGGAGCGGUGAAAUGCGUUGAUAUCAUCAGGAAUACCGGAGGCGAAGGCGGCUCACUGGGGGUUAUCUGACGCUGAGGAACGAAAGCCAGGGGAGCAAACGGG